UUCAGGGGGGCAAUGGAACAAAAAGGGGCGACGCGGGGGCAAAGGAACGGAAGGGGGGUGAUAUGGGGGCGAUGGAGCGAGAAUAUUGGGAGAGAGAGAGAGAGAGAGA
Molecule: non-coding RNA, 109 nt
Organism: Notechis scutatus (mainland tiger snake)
Lineage: Eukaryota; Metazoa; Chordata; Lepidosauria; Squamata; Elapidae
Source: RefSeq, a predicted model, not a curated record